GUUUUGUUGCCUUUUAAAGGGAGAGGAAAGCAAACCACAGGCUAUUUUAUUAUGAGCCUUCAAAAGGGAGGGGGUAAAAACUAGUUAUCAAUGUUGUGCCUUUAUUCUUUAUGAAGAAAAACAAAAUUUAGCUUAAAUACUCAUGGGGGGGUGCUUUGAUUUUUUUUUUUUAAAACUAGAGCUAGAUUAAAACUGAUGGUGAAGAGAAGAAAAAAAGUUUUUUGUAGUUCAACAAUUGAAUAUUUCUUGGCUCUUAAACAUUUCAGAGAAGCGCUACAAAGCAGCCACUGUGCUUACUGAACGGCCUCCCCCUGUAUCGCUUGAUUGAGAAGGUAUACAAAUGCUCUCAGUCCAGCCAGACACCAAGCCGAAAGGUUGUGCUGGCUGCAACCGAAAGAUCAAGGACCGGUAUCUUCUAAAGGCACUGGACAAAUACUGGCAUGAAGACUGCCUGAAGUGUGCCUGCUGUGACUGUCGCUUGGGAGAGGCUCUUUGGUGUAACGGGAAACUGCGCUGCCUGUAGUAAGCUCAUCCCUGCCUUUGAGAUGGUG
RNAcentral lists this small RNA (551 nucleotides) under Pan troglodytes (chimpanzee). Its description in RNAcentral is "processed transcript". Lineage: Eukaryota; Metazoa; Chordata; Mammalia; Primates; Hominidae. The record is from RNAcentral.